UACGUAGGGUGCGAGCGUUGUCCGGAAUUACUGGGCGUAAAGAGCUUGUAGGCGGUUUGUCGCGUCUUCUGUGAAAACUCACAGCUCAACUGUGAGCUUGCAGGGGAUACGGGCAGACUAGAGUACUUCAGGGGAGACUGGAAUUCCUGGUGUAGCGGUGAAAUGCGCAGAUAUCAGGGGGAACACCGGUGGCGAAGGCGGGUCUCUGGGAAGUAACUGACGCUGAGAAGCGAAAGCGUGGGUAGCGAACAGG
This 253-nucleotide ribosomal RNA is filed under the name uncultured bacterium. Its description in RNAcentral is "partial 16S ribosomal RNA". It matches the Rfam family "Bacterial small subunit ribosomal RNA", at positions 524 to 776 of the family's 1533-position model. The record is from RNAcentral.